AGUUAUAUCACUUUGAAACGCCAGUUCUCGUACGAUUAACGAACUUAAGCAACGUGGAGCCCGGUCAGUACCAAGAUGGGUGACCGCUUGGGAAUACCAGGUGCUGUU
Non-coding RNA from Acanthosepion pharaonis, 108 nucleotides. The record is from the annotation of a GenBank genome assembly. Lineage: Eukaryota; Metazoa; Mollusca; Cephalopoda; Sepiida; Sepiidae.